UGCAGUCGAGCGGAACGAUCCUAGCUUGCUAGGAGGCGUCGAGCGGCGGACGGGUGAGUAAUGCAUAGGAAUCUGCCCGAUAGUGGGGGAUAACCUGAGGAAACUCAGGCUAAUACCGCAUACGUCCUACGGGAGAAAGCAGGGGCUCUUCGGACCUUGCGCUAUCGGAUGAGCUUAUGUCGGAUUAGCUGGUUGGUGAGGUAACGGCUCACCAAGGCGACGAUCCGUAGCUGGUCUGAGAGGAUGAUCAGCCACAUCGGGACUGAGACACGGCCCGAACUCCUACGGGAGGCAGCAGUGGGGAAUAUUGGACAAUGGGGGCAACCCUGAUCCAGCCAUGCCGCGUGUGUGAAGAAGGCCCUCGGGUUGUAAAGCACUUUCAGUGAGGAAGAAGGCUUGUCGGUUAAUACCCGGCAAGGGAGACAUCACUCACAGAAGAAGCACCGGCUAACUCCGUGCCAGCAGCCGCGGUAAUACGGAGGGUGCGAGCGUUAAUCGGAAUUACUGGGCGUAAAGCGUGCGUAGGCGGCUUGAUAAGCCGGUUGUGAAAGCCCCGGGCUCAACCUGGGAACGGCAUCCGGAACUGUCAGGCUAGAGUGCAGGAGAGGAAGGUAGAAUUCCCGGUGUAGCGGUGAAAUGCGUAGAGAUCGGGAGGAAUAUCAGUGGCGAAGGCGGCCUUCUGGACUGACACUGACGCUGAGGUACGAAAGCGUGGGUAGCAAACAGGAUUAGAUACCCUGGUAGUCCACGCCGUAAACGAUGUCGACUAGCCGUUGGGGUCCUCGAGACCUUUGUGGCGCAGUUAACGCACUAAGUCGACCGCCUGGGGAGUACGGCCGCAAGGUUAAAACUCAAAUGAAUUGACGGGGGCCCGCACAAGCGGUGGAGCAUGUGGUUUAAUUCGAUGCAACGCGAAGAACCUUACCUACCCUUGACAUCGUGCGAACUUUCCAGAGAUGGAUUGGU
RNAcentral lists this ribosomal RNA (966 nucleotides) under Halomonas caseinilytica. RNAcentral describes it as "bacterial SSU rRNA". It matches the Rfam family "Bacterial small subunit ribosomal RNA", at positions 56 to 1015 of the family's 1533-position model. The record is from RNAcentral. Lineage: Bacteria; Pseudomonadati; Pseudomonadota; Gammaproteobacteria; Oceanospirillales; Halomonadaceae.